GACGAACGCUGGCGGCGUGCUUAGCACAUGCAAGUCGAACGCUGAAGCUCAGCUUUUGUUGGGUGGAUGAGUGGCGAACGGGUGAGUAACACGUGAGUAACCUGCCCCCUUCUUUGGGAUAACGCCCGGAAACGGGUGCUAAUACUGGAUAUUCACUGGUCUUCGCAUGGGGGUUGGUGGAAAGGGUUUUUCUGGUGGGGGAUGGGCUCGCGGCCUAUCAGCUUGUUGGUGGGGUGAUGGCCUACCAAGGCUUUGACGGGUAGCCGGCCUGAGAGGGUGACCGGUCACAUUGGGACUGAGAUACGGCCCAGACUCCUACGGGAGGCAGCAGUGGGGAAUAUUGCACAAUGGGCGCAAGCCUGAUGCAGCGACGCCGCGUGAGGGAUGGAGGCCUUCGGGUUGUGAACCUCUUUCGCUCAUGGUCAAGCCGCAACAAUGGUUGUGGUGAGGGUAGUGGGUAAAGAAGCGCCGGCUAACUACGUG
This 483-nucleotide ribosomal RNA is filed under the name uncultured bacterium. RNAcentral's name for it is "partial 16S ribosomal RNA". It matches the Rfam family "Bacterial small subunit ribosomal RNA", at positions 28 to 507 of the family's 1533-position model. The record is from RNAcentral.